This 363-nucleotide unclassified non-coding RNA is filed under the name Hevea brasiliensis (rubber tree). Lineage: Eukaryota; Viridiplantae; Streptophyta; Magnoliopsida; Malpighiales; Euphorbiaceae. The record is from RNAcentral.
AAGGCCUCAAGAAGUGGUUUUGAUAAUGGGGAAUUUUCAAGUGCUUCAACUAGAACCUCCCUAGCUUUUUCUACAUUUGCAGCAACCAAAUAUAGAAAUCGGGAGUAUUGUGCAUACCAUUGGCAACACCUGUGAAUGCUCUUUUCCUUUUUCAAUGGCUAUGGCCUGUUCAUACAGAGAGAAGGCAUCUUUGAGGUUCCCCAGGCGAUGUUCCAUGUUUGCAUGCUUAACAACCGCUUCAAGAAGACCAGGUGUGAUUUCAGUGUGCACAAGUUGGUAUGCAGCUCGGGCACCAGGUAUAUCUCCACUCUGCUCUCUAAAUCGAGCAGCAAAAAGGUGAAUCUCUGGUUGUCUCUUGACAAA